RNAcentral lists this ribosomal RNA (253 nucleotides) under uncultured bacterium. RNAcentral's name for it is "partial 16S ribosomal RNA". It matches the Rfam family "Bacterial small subunit ribosomal RNA", at positions 524 to 776 of the family's 1533-position model. The record is from RNAcentral.
UACAGCGGUCUCAAGCGUUGUUCGGAUUCAUUGGGCGUAAAGGGCGCGUAGGCUGCGGGGCAAGUCGGGUGUGAAAUCUCAGAGCUCAACUCUGAAACUGCACUCGAUACUGCUUUGCUCGAGGACUGGAGAGGAGAUUGGAAUUCACGGUGUAGCAGUGAAAUGCGUAGAUAUCGUGAGGAAGACCAGUGGCGAAGGCGGAUCUCUGGACAGUUCCUGACGCUGAGGCGCGAAGGCCAGGGGAGCAAACGGG